UAGGGAAUAUUAGAAAUGGACGAAAGUCUGAUCUAGCGACACCGCGUGUGCGAUGAAGGCCUUCGGGUUGUAAAGCACUUUUUGGAAGGAAUAGGAAGGAAGGUACUUCCAGAAUAAGUCUCGGCUAACUACGCGCCAGCAGCCGCGGUAACACGUAGGAGGCAAACGUUAUCCGGAUUUACUGGGCGUAAAGCGCGUGUAGGUGGUUUUGUAAGUAGGGCGUGAAAGCUCCCGGCUCAACUGGGAGAGGCCGUUCUAAACUGCAGAACUAGAGGAUGGUAGAGGGAGGUGGAAUUCCAGGUGUAGCGGUAGAAUGCGCAGAUAUCUGGAGGAACACCAGUGGCGAAAGCGGCCUCCUGGACCAUUCCUGACACUCAGACGCGAAAGCUAGGGUAGCAAACGG
RNAcentral lists this ribosomal RNA (403 nucleotides) under uncultured bacterium. Its description in RNAcentral is "bacterial SSU rRNA". It matches the Rfam family "Bacterial small subunit ribosomal RNA", at positions 355 to 775 of the family's 1533-position model. The record is from RNAcentral.